CAGCAGCCCUUGCAGACGCCUACAAUGAAAUUGGCGAAGUUUUUUCGGUUUCGGCGCCAUUUUCGAGUGGACUCGGAGCUCCCAUGUGGUUGGAGGCACUGGCAGGAGGAGCUGUAGCCCACGGCCAGGUGAGGGCAGGUAAGUGCUGGGAGCCUGCAGCACUCGCAUCCCAUCCCACACCUUACACAGUGAGUGUAGGGCAGCUCACUGCUGUGACACGCAGAGCUCAGAGCCAUUCUCCAUCAGAAGCACACAGCACUCUCCCAGGUAUGUAUUUCCCCACCUAUCCCAGAUUUCCAGCUUCUCUGCGAGCUGCUUGGUGGGCACGUGUUGAAAGCUUUGCAACAGUGUCCUGCACCUUGUCCAGCUACAACCAGGACUUUGCAUUACUUAAUAUAUUUAUAUAAGUGGAUGCUACGACUGAGCUGGUUUGCUAUUGCCUUUUUAACGUAUUUUAUUCUGUUUUCUCGAGCUGCUUGAAGAGAUGGAAGCAGUGAUCCUCCCCAUGUGCAGCCCUUCGCAGUGCUGUUGCCGAAGCAGAGCUGAAGCACUGCAGGGCUGCUCUGCUGCACCCCGGGUGGGUUUCCCUUCGGCUGUUGGCUCUUUACAGCACAGCAGUUGCACUUUGCAGAGCUGGAGCUGCUGCCAUCAGCACAGAGGACAUUGAAGUGAUGGAAAAAAUACUUUUUUUUUUCUUUCCUUUUUGCCAAUAUUGAAUUGGCUGUUUCCAAUAGGCUGGCACGGGCCGGGAGGGCUCUUGAAAUCCCGUUCUUCAGUUUGCUAAAGGGGCAGAGCAGCACAGGGGCUGAGCUCCCUGUGGGACAGGCCUGGCUGCUGCCGUCGUUCUGCGCUGCUGUGACGUUGCUUUUUGGGAAAAUGAAUUGAAGGAAGUUGUCACAUAACUGGGGGAAAAAAGUCAAGAGGAAACAAAGAAGUGCGGGCUGUCUGCACAGGUCUGGGCGCUCUGUGCUGCAGCCUCAGCCUCUGCUCUGCACAGGGAAUGAUGGAGGGUCAGAGGACCUUUAUUUUCUGGUUGCAGAUGGUUUGUCCAUUCUAAAGGUACAUGAGCAUCAUGUCAGCUUGAGGAAAAAAAGCUUUUCCCCCUUUCCUUUCCUUCCUUCUUUCCUCCUUUCUUUCUUUUUCCCUUCCUUCCUUCCCUUCAGCAGUUUAAGGACACACGAGGUUUGCCCUGCUAAGCUGUGCAUUCAGCUGCUGGCACUGUGAUUCCUGGCCAACAGCUGAUGCACCACAGCCCCUAAGGGAAGAAGGAAAGGCAGUGGAUCAUUCCCCCACAAGCUCUGGGGGUGCAGCUGUGCCAUGUUGCAGCACUGUGGGUUUGGGGAGUGGGGUAUUUCUGUCUGUUUGCACUGUGUAACUGCUUGUUCUUUGUAGUUGCAGGUUGAUAGCACCUGGAAGGCAAAAAAAAAACCCAAACAAAAACAAACCAAAUCAACACAAAAGUCCUGAGGUGGUAAUGCAUGCAUGUUCAUGUCUUCAUGUAGAGCGUUCGUCACUGCCUUAUGUCAUGAUUUACAAAUAAUAAUAAUAAUAACAAUAAUAAUAACCAAAAUACCAUUUGGAAUGCCAACAUUCAGUGGGCUUUGAGGAGAUGUAGCAGCACAUCAUGGUUUGUAGGGACAAGGAGAUACAGACCAUUCUGGGCUGCCUCAUUACCUCAAGGAUAAGACAAGAAAGUGAGCUUCUGGUUAUCAUAGGGGUGGAGGCUGACGUGUCCCCAUAGCCCUUAGCUCAGGAGCACGGGGAUGUGCAGGUACACCUGUCUGUGGGGUGGCCGUGCAGGAAGGGCUCUGCUCCUCCUGUGCUCUUUGAGUCCAUCCCGGGUGGAGCAGUGCCUCCAGAGCAAUAUUGCUCCACGUUCAGCCUUUUCCCAGCCCCCUCUGAUUUGGGGGGUGGAUACGGGGGGAUUGAAGGCUGUGGGGAGAUGCACGGGGCUGGAGAGCUGUCAGCAGUGCUCUAGCAGCACGUAAAUACUGGAGUGGGGGAUCGCCUGUUGCUCUCCAGUAUUGCAUUGCUGCUUUAGUGAGGCUGGAAAUCAGUCCCUGGCACCUGGGGGUUCUGUGCUGCAGGGGGUGGGGGGGGAACCUAUCUCCAGCACCAAUAAAUCACAGUGAGUAACGAGGGCCUGGUGUCAUUAAUGGGGUCAGGACUCUGGCAUGGGGAGACCGAGCCCUUCCCCAGCAUCCUGGGUGGGAAAUGAGGUUCUGGGGAGGUGGUGGGAGCUGGAGGUAGGGUAAGAAGCAAGUGCUGUGCCCUUGGCAUCUCCCAUGCUGAACUACCCAGUUCUGGUGGCAGCAAAGGGGCACCUGUGGGCUGAAGGCUGCUUCCCUUGGGGCUGCACCGCACUACUGGGCCAUCAGGGGACAUCCAUCCUCUGCAGCAGCAGUGAGUCCACGCGUCUUGCAGGUGAUGGUGCCUCACUGGCAGCCCCAGUCCUAUGCUGUGCUGGGGGUUCUGGUGGCUGGCUGUCCCACAGCAGUGGGUUUUCAACUGUUUCCUGCAAUUACUGAAUCCCAGUCUAGUUGUGGGGCAGGAGGGUGGUGGGGAAAUGUCCCCUCGCUGCUUCGUGGCUCAGCUGUGGCCCAGCAGCACGGAAGGUGAGCACUUCUGCAUUUCUAUUCUUAAUCUUGCAAGUUUUACAUCAGUUUUUUGUUUGUUUUUUUUUUUUUAAUGCUUUAAAAAUUUUGCAUCAUCAUUUUAUGUGCAGAGGCAGAGAGUCUGAAACCAGACUUGCUGUGUUGCAGACCACAAAGGCACAGGGGCACAAAGAGGUGGUGUGGGACUGCUUCCUGCCUGCAGAAUGCACAGGGAGGGUCACAGGUAGAGGUAGGGGUGCCUUGAACCACAACUGCCCUGAGCAGCAGUGCCAUUCCCUGCACAACAGCUACUAGUGAGUAAUUCAAGGCUGCACAGACCCUUGCUUUGAAUUCUCUAAUCCAGGACUUCUCUUUAACACAAAACCACCCCCCAAAAGGAACCACCAGCACAAUUAUCAUACAAGCUUUCUAUCACCCCUCCGAGCUCAGCCUGGAGCACCUGUGAUCCAGAUCACUGCGAGUUUAAAGCAAGAUUUUCUCGGUGCUUUCAUAUACUUUAACAAUUGCUCUUCUGCAAGGCCAGCCCCCCAGGCUGCACAGCUCCAGCACCCUUUCCUUGCUCCAACAAAGCCCCUGUUGUGACACCCAUCCUCUCCAGCCUCUCACAUCGCAGCAUUUGAGUAACAUCCUACACCAAGGCAGGAAAACACUGCAGAGCAAGAACUCGUGUCAGGGUUUAGUCCUAAAAGAUAUGAGCAAGUCUCACUGUUUCAUUGUGUUUCAUGUACUUCUACGCCCCCUUUUGAGUGCAAUAUCCAGAUGCCAUCAAUUAUUCCAGAAUGCAGUGAUGCAGGAACUAUGCAGAGGUUGGAGAGAACAUUGCUUUCUGUAAUGAGGCCUUCAUUCCAAUGAAAACUCAAAUAGAUGUCAUAAUACUAAAGAGGGUUUGUAGUUUUCUGUGUUGCUUUUUGUGCUUCCUCUCCUCAGCCAAGCACCACCUGCUGAAAGGAAGUCCUGAGCACAGCACAGUUCUCCACACACACACAUUCAGAAAUGGAAUCAGCCUAUAUAGUGCCAUUAGAAAAGCUCUUUGGAACAUUAACCAUAACAUGAACAAAAGUAAAUUUCAAUUGUGAGCAGUGUUAUUUUUCUUACUGAUUUGCAACUAGAUCUCCAGCACACUGAUCAUUACACAAUUACAUGGUGUAAGUUACUCACGUUUUAGGGCUGCCAUUAAGAGCCACGGUUGCAACUGAACACACCAAGGGCAGACAGUGCUGCAAGGUGCUUGGAGUGUAAAAAAUACUACUCAAAAACCAGGAAACACCUUGCAGAACAGAUGACAAAUGCUUCAUUAUGUACCAAGCACUGCCAGCACCAAAUCCCAGCACGCAGUGAGUCCAUGUGCAAGCACACCAACUGCAUAAGCAAAGGACAGAGCAGCACAGCAGAAGGAAAGGUGUGCACUGCCAUGGUUAGCAUUGCAACAGAAACAAGAUGUGAAUAAAAGCAGGUACUUACAAAUUGGCUGGGUUCUCUCUCCCUGAUAUGUGUUUAAUGAAGGAGUAUCUGUCACUCUUCACUGUUGCCAAAACAGGAGAAGGGACAGCACUCGGAAUGUUCUCUGAAGUCCAGUUUGGUUACAGCAUAUGCCAGCCUUCCUAAAGCUUUCCCUCAGGCCUUCAUCAUCUCCCAUAGACAGCACUGCACUGACAGAAAGCUCUGCAGAGGUAACAAACGUGGAGCCUGCCUUCACUGCCAGAAGCACUGAUGAAAUACGCUGCUGAGAAGAGAAUCUCGAGAGUACCUCAAUGUACACAGUGAGUGCAAUAGAUGUGUGGGGCAUAUUUUAAAGAGAGAGCCUUUAUUUAAAGUACUUUGCCUUGUAGUUCUUAGAAAGUAAACAUUACAAUACUUUUUCUUCUUUUUUUCCCACAAAUAUAUUAAAACUGUUUAAAUUUAAAAGGCAAUUUCACUGUCUGAUGGAUAUUUUUAAAGAAAAAAAAAAUCUGAAAGAAACAGGCAGCUCAACUAAAACUAGACUUCAAACAUUCUGUCAUUCCAUCUCAAAAAAAGAAGAAAAAGAAAAGA
Lagopus muta (rock ptarmigan) is the source of this 4646-nucleotide long non-coding RNA. RefSeq lists it as uncharacterized. The transcript is spliced from 2 exons. Lineage: Eukaryota; Metazoa; Chordata; Aves; Galliformes; Phasianidae. The record is from RefSeq and is a predicted model, not a curated record.